AGAUAUGAUCCAGAGUACCACGGGACACGUGAAACCCUGUGGGAAGCAGGAGGGACCACCCUCCAAGGCUAAAUACUACCUAGUGACCGAUAGCGUAUAGUACCGUGAGGGAAAGGUGAAAAGAACCCCGGGAGGGGCGUGAAAUAGAACCUGAAACCCUGCACUUACAAGCUGUGGAAGCACAUUUCUUGUGUGACCGCGUACUUUUUGUAGAACGGGCCAACGAGUUACGUUAAGUAGCAAGGUUAAGCACUUAAGGUGUGGAGC
Molecule: ribosomal RNA, 267 nt
Filed under: Clostridioides difficile
Lineage: Bacteria; Bacillati; Bacillota; Clostridia; Peptostreptococcales; Peptostreptococcaceae
Description: partial 23S ribosomal RNA
Rfam family: Bacterial large subunit ribosomal RNA
Source: RNAcentral